This 241-nucleotide long non-coding RNA is filed under the name Brachypodium distachyon (stiff brome). RNAcentral's name for it is "long non-coding RNA (BDIS_LNC004062)". Lineage: Eukaryota; Viridiplantae; Streptophyta; Magnoliopsida; Poales; Poaceae. The record is from RNAcentral.
CAGGCUGCAUCCCUUACACAAUUUAUUCCUAAAAAGAAAAAGAAAGAAAAACAAACAUAAAAACACAUCGCUUUAAAAAAAAGAGAAUGUUUAUUUAAUGCAAAAAUGAGUCUAGGUUGCCUCCUAGUAGCGCUUCUUUAUGGUCACUAGCUUGACCCCUGUUCCUGUAGUUGCUCAUGUUGGUUGCCCACUGUCAAGGCCUUCUUGCCUCAACUCAUCUUCUUCAGACAUAGCAUCAGGU